UACGUAGGGGGCUAGCGUUGUCCGGAAUCAUUGGGCGUAAAGAGCGUGUAGGCGGCCCGGUAAGUCCGCUGUGAAAGUCGGGGGCUCAACCCUCGAAUGCCGGUGGAUACUGUCGGGCUAGAGUGCGGAAGAGGCGAGUGGAAUUCCUGGUGUAGCGGUGAAAUGCGCAGAGUAUCAGGAGGGAACACCGAUGGCGAAGGCAGUUCUCUGGGACGGUACUGACGACUGGAGACGCGAAAGCGUGGGGAGCGAACAGG
RNAcentral lists this ribosomal RNA (257 nucleotides) under uncultured bacterium. RNAcentral describes it as "partial 16S ribosomal RNA". It matches the Rfam family "Bacterial small subunit ribosomal RNA", at positions 524 to 776 of the family's 1533-position model. The record is from RNAcentral.